GCCGCGAGGUAGAGCAAAUCUCAAAAAAACAAUCUCAGUUCAGACUGCAGGCUGCAACUCGCCUGCACGAAGUCGGAAUUGCUAGUAAUCGUAGGUCAGCAUACUACGGUGAAUACGUUCCCGGGCCUUGUACACACCGCCCGUCAAACCAUGAGAGUUGGCAACACCCGAAGUCGGUAGUCUGACCGCAAGGAGGACGCCGCCGAAGGUGGGGUUGAUGAUUAGGGUUAAGUCGUAACAAGGUAUC
Molecule: ribosomal RNA, 247 nt
Filed under: uncultured bacterium
Lineage: Bacteria
Description: partial 16S ribosomal RNA
Rfam family: Bacterial small subunit ribosomal RNA
Source: RNAcentral